GUGGGGACGGCGCCGCUCAGGACUGGACCCCCGACCCCGGCCGGCCUCCGCCGGGCUCCAGUCCCCGCCACCCUUGCUAGGUACCCUGUGCGGUCGGGCAGGCAGCCGCUCCCUGCGACCUAGGCUUCUUGUCCUCUGACGCGCCUCGGGGCAGGAGCCGAGGCCGCCCACUAGAGGAACAGGAUCUGCCUGCGCAGCUGUCUCGCCCGGCAAAGAGCGCCCAGGACCCGGGACUGCGUCCUCUUCACUGAGACCUGGCUUAUAAAGGACCUAGUCGAGGCUGUUAAGUGAAAGGAAGCAGGGGUGGCGUGGGCCUGGCGCUCAGGUGCGCCCUAAAUGUUUGGUCAUAGCUGGCUACAAGGACAUUCGCUCAAGCUUGGAGGUGCGUGGCACUCUGACAUGUUGCCUCUGGGGUAACCGAGGGACGCGCGGCAAACAGAGAUGGAGGACUGGCAACGGGUGCCUCGAAGAGGUAGACUGGGAGAUCUCUCAGGGUUACUGGGGAAGCGAUGACUGCAGGGUGAGCACUCAGAGAGUCUGGCAGAAGGCUGGGAGUGUGACCGGCAGGACCUUCCAAAAAACCCGGCGUACCUGGAAACUGGGUCCGCAGCUUUAGGGCGGCAGCAAGGUCAGGGUGUAGGAACACGGAGAUGAGGCCCUGGUGACUGGCAGUGAGCACACACUGCCAACCUUGGAGAAAUUCCUUCUCCAGGAAGGAGAUGCAAAUUUGCAAGAGGGCUGGAACAUGCAGCCGGGGCCUGCUGUGCACCAGGCACAGAACUGAGUUGAAGAGCUUGGCUAAAGGGUAUGUUAGCCAGUGAAGCAAUGAAGUUAAUAAAGGGUGAUGAUUUCAAAUGUUUGGCAGUGGGAGAGAGAAAAGUAGGCCUGGAGCUCAAGAAGUACCAAGAGUAAAGGAGAAAGUUGGGUCCUACUGUGGAAGCUGAGGCAAAAGCAUCCCUUAAGCCGAGAAGUUUGAGUUCAGCCUGGACAACAUAGCGAGACCCUCCCUCUCUGCAAAAGAGUAAAGGGAAAAGUUGAUUCUUUUUUUUUUUUUCUCGAGACGGAGUUUCGCUCUUGCAGCCCAGGCUAUAGUGCAAUGGCGCGGUCUCGGCUCACUGCAACCUCUGCCUCCAGGGUUCCAGUGAUAAUCCAGCCUCAGCCUCCCAAGUAGCUGGAAUUACAGGCGCACGCCACCAUGCCUGGGUUUUUUUUGUUUUUUUUUUUUUUUUUUGAGUUUCGCUCUUGUUGCCCAGGCUGCAGUGCAAUGGCACAAUCUCGGCUCACUGCAACCUCUGCCUCCUAGGUUCAACCGAUUCUCCUGCUUCAGCCUCCCGAGUAGCUGGGAUUACAGGCAUGCGCCACCAUGCCCGACUAAUUUUGUAUUUUUAGUAGAAAUGAGGUUUCAACAUGUUGGUCAGGCUGGUCUCACAACUCCUGAACUCAGGUCAUCCGCCCGCCUCGGCCUCCGAAAGUGCUGGGAUUACAUGCAUGAGCCACCGCAGCCGGCCCUAAUUUUUGUAUUUUUAGUAGAGAUGGGGGUUCGCCAUGUUGGCCAGGCUGGUCUCGAACACCUGACCUAAGGUGAUCCACCUGCCUUAGCCUCCCAAAGUGCUGGAAUGACAGGCAUGAGCCACCACGCCUGGCAGGUGAUUUUUUUUUUUCCUAACUUGAGUGGGGAGACCUUAAAUAAAGGAGCUGAGAGGGGAGAAUGGCAGAUAAGAUGUAGGAUAAUUGAUAGUGCAAGAAACCAGAAAAGGAAAAGUAGAUGAGAAGGGGGAAGGGGGAAAGGGGAGAGCAAAGAGUCAGAGAAGUCCACCUCUUCCUACAAGAUUUAAAGAGUGCAUAAAGAUUGAAAUAUUUUGAGGUAGGGAGGCAUGCAUGCUUCCAUGGAUCAGCUGCCUGGAUUACCCUCCACAAUCAUCCUUAGGGCAGCUGGGGUCACUGUCCUUUAAAAUUUAAGUACAAUUGACUCCAAACCCGUGUACCACUUAAGAAACCCAUCAUAACCUGCCAAUAUCUCCAGAGUUUCACUGGGAACUUACAUUUCUCCUAAUUAUCUCAGGCCCUAAUUUCUUGUUUCCAAAAAAUAUUGUGCUCUUUGGAAGAUUUGUCACCAUAUCCCAGAUAUUAGUCCAUUUAUAUUACCUCAGAAUAUUGCACCCUACCUAUAAGCAAGAAAAAUGCCCAAAAUUAUAUGAUUAUAUUAUAGUUACAUGACUGUUAGAUAAACUAGUUUGUGGCCAUUAAAAAUCAUGGUAAAGAAAAAGAUUUAAUGAUGUGGGAAAUCUUUAUAAUUAAAAGCACAUUAUAAGGUGAUAUGGCAGAUGGUAACAUAAAUAUACAUAAAUAUGUAUAAUGCAUAGAUUUUAAAAUGAGACUUUUCUUCUGUGACAUCUAUAUUUUCUUAUUUUUAUAAUGCAUGUAUAUUUCUCCUGGAAGCAGAGAAAUGGUAUCUUUAAGUAGCUUUUUAAAGUAUUUUUAAGAAAGGUAUUUUUUAAAAGAUAUUUAUGGGGUUCAAAAGAAAAAAAUAUUAGGGCUGGGCAUGAUGGCUCAUGCCUGUAAUCACAGCUACUUGGGAGGCCGAGGCUGGUGGAUCACCUGAGGUCAGGGGUUUGGGACCAGCCUGGCCAACAUGGUGAAAGCCCAUCUCUACUAAAAGUACAGGCAUGGUGGCAUGCCUGUAGUCCCAGCUACUUGGGUGGCUGAAUCAUGAGAAUCACUUGAACCUAGGAGGUGGAGGUUGCAGUGAGCUGAGAUUGCACCACUGCACUCCAUCCUGGACAACAGAGUGAGAAUCUGUCUCAAAAGAAAAAGAAAAAUAUAUUAGGACUCUGGAAAAGGAAUUUGGAAAUGAAUCUUUGAAGUGUAGAUGGGACUUUAGCAAAUAGAGAUGGGCUGAGUAAGGAGACUGUCCCAGGCAGAAGGAACAGCACAACCAAGAAGCCAGAAUGGGAAAUAGAUGGAGUGUUCAGAGGGGAGCACCAAGAAAUCCAUUUGGCUGGAGCGCACAGGACUGGUGUAGAAGAAAAGUAGGGGAAUCAAUGUGGAAAGGUAAGGUAGGAAAUGGGGUUUCAUGGACUAAAAUAAAAGGAAAAAUAAUGAGUAUAUCAAAAAUGGUCCUGAAUGCCAAGCUGAACCCCAUGUCCUUUGCAUGUCAGGAAGAACCACUGAGGCUUGAACAGUGCAGGUAAUAAAUUUGCAAAUAAAUUGUCCUGUAACUUCUUACUCAAUGAGGUUUUAGGUCUCAACCCAUCAGUCCUAAUAUUUGGACAUCUAAUUCACUCAGAGCAAUGAGUUAGGGGCAGCAGUCUUUGCAUUACAGCUGUUUACAGACUGAAAAUUGGGCCUUGCUUCUCUGGCUAUUAAUUACUACAAUUUCUAUUCACCAUUCAGCAGAGUUUCAGAGCAAGAACAAAUGAUCAAAGAAUAAUUUCCAUAACCCACUGCUGGGUCACAAAGGACAUUGAAAAGAGGCUCCUCUAUAGCCAGAUAGCCUGCACCCUUAGACUUGCCAUGUUUACAUGUACCAGAAAUCAACAGGACAGAUAAGACUUUUCUAAGAUGCUGUGGAGGGGUGGGAUGGAAGGAUUGACAGGACCCGUGUUUGGGUUUCUCUUCUCUUCUCAGUAUAUAUUUCCUAAUAUCAAUAUUUCUCAGGGGCUAUAAACAUUUUCUUCUUUGUCCAGCUCAAGAUACAGAUUGAACUUCAAACAAGGUAGACCAGAGACAAUUUUUUAUUUGAAUGAAUAGAAUCGUGGACUAAAAUGAAAGGAAAAAUAAUGUCUUGAUUGUAGCUGUUAUCUUAGUUGUGACAAUACAUUGAGGCCAUCUUAACUAACACUGUUGGAGUAUUAUAAGGGCAAUAAGUUUAGUCUCUUCCUUGUAAGUUUGGAAGCAAUGGGAAGGUGAAAAUAUCAACUUUAUUACCAAUAAAACUGAACUGAAGAAUGUGGCUUAGAUGGUGGCCAAUAAGCUUUUUAAUAUUUUUCCCUGAAUUAAAAUUAUUUCCAGCCAGGCAUGGUUGCUCACACCUGUAAUUCCAGCACUUAGAGAGGCAGAGGUGGGAGGAUUGCUUGAACCCAGGAGUUAAAGACCACCCUGGGCAACAUAGCAAGACCCUGUCUCCAUAAAAAGGAAAAAAUAAAAAAAUAAAAUUAUUUUCCCUAAACCUCCAUUCUCCCCUUUGCAGAAGCCUAACAAUAUUAACUAUGUCUAAUUAGAGAAAACUGCACCUUCUCUUAGAUCAGGCAGGUCUGAAUUCAGCAAUUAGGUAAGUCUCUGCUGGAAGAAUCAGAACAACUUCACUCCUACCUGCCCUUCUAUGGAUACAAAAGGAUUUAGAGGAUAAGGAUAAGGAUUUACAUCCCCUUCCCGACCCCUGAUGCCCAAACAAAUUAGACCUGGCCCAACAGUUCAUUCUUUAAUUGGAAAAGAAUAUUUAAGCAGUGAAUAACAACAAAUGGCAAAUAUAUACCCUAGUAUUUCAUUUUAACUUCAAAACUAUAAAGAACACCCACUUGCCUUGCCAAUCUUUAGACCUAGGACUAAACCUUUUUUGAUUAUUGUUCUUGAGCUGCCUUUCUUACAUCAAUCAUAUCCACGAUGCACUUUCUAUGCUUUCCUUUCCCUUUUUUUUUUUUUUUGACAGUCACCUAGGCUAGAGUGUUAGAGUACAGUGGUGUGACAAUGACUCACUGCAGCCUCAACCUCCUGGGUACAAAUGAUCUUCCCACCUCAGCCUCCCGAGUAGCUGGGACUACAGGCGUGCACCACCACGCUGGGCUAAUUACAAAUACAUAUAUGUAUAUAUAACCUGGCUUCCAAGUUGGCUGUGUACUUAAAACUUCUUACAAAGCAGUAUAAGUAGAGGCUUUAAAAAAAAAACCUUUUGUAGUUCUCUUGCUCACAUCUGGUUUAGUAGUAAUUUCAACUGGUCUUUAGCUAAUAUUUUCAAAGCAUGUAACUGACAUGUCAUAGAGACAGCUCUUUUCAUGCUUAUGUUUCAUCUAUUUAUGCAAUUUUAAUAAACUGAUGGAUAAUUCAUCAGUUUAUUAAACUCUGGUGUAUAGCUACCAUAAACAGGUUUAGGACCAAACACAGCAGACUGUUAUUAGGCAUGUAGCUCAACUGGCAGGAAUGAGUAUGUAGGUAUUCCAGAAAGUAACCCACUAGUCCAAAGCAUUUAUCUGUCCUUGAGCAUUAGCAAUAUAUUUAUUAGAAGGGAAUGGAAAGUGUUGAUUCCGGAGAGUCCAUUAGAAGGAGGGCACUUAAUGCACAGUUAAUGCUCAUACACUAGGAUGACGAACUCUGUGCAUAUUUCAUAACUUUUUCCAUCAUUUAUCCAUUUCAUAAAUGUUUAUUGAUAUUCUGGACAGUGCCAGACACUAUGCUAGGCCCUGAAGAAGCAUAGCUUAAUGAAGAGGAGGAAACUGAUGUAUAAACAAGGUGAAGAGUCUGGAAAAAAAGAAGGAAGUAAGUUGGACAGCAAAUCCUUCUAACCUUCUCUCCACCCCACGCCCUCAAAAUCACUGACCCUCCAGUCCCAUUUAGCUAAAAAAGCUUUAAAUGGCUUAGAAUUGGUAUGGCUAUCAAAGAAGUUCAAAUGUUAAGACUACUUACUACGUUAGCAAAGUAUACAUACCUUAUGUACUUUCAAUGCUAUAGAGAUAAUGCAAUUGGUACAGUCAAGAGAAAACCGCAGCAGGGUAAAUUGCUAUCCUUUAAAGCAAUUUGAGGCUGGGCGCGGUGGCUCGUGCCUAUAAUCCCAGCACUUUAGGAGGCUGAGGCAGAUGGAUCACCUGAGGUCAGGAGUUCAAGACCAGCCUGGCCAACAUGGUGAAACCCUGUUUCUACCAAAAAAAAAAAAAUACAAAAGUUAGCCAGGCAUGGUGGCGCAGGUCUGUAAUCCAAGCUACUAGGGAGGCUGAGGCAGGAGAAUCACUUGAUUCUGUGAGGCAGAGGUUGCAGUAGCUGAGAUCAUGCCACUGCACUCCAGCCCGGGCGACAGAGAGAGAUUACGCCUCAAAAAAAAAGAGAAAUACUACUCCCCAAAAGAAAACGGCCACACACACAACAAUAUUUACCAUAGUACUUACUGAAUGAUAGUGAAAAUUUAGAAACAUUAUGAAUGGUUAAGUAACUGGUGAUAUGAAAUCUAUAACUUAUUGACAUGAGAGAAACAUUUGAUUACAUAUGAAAUGAAAAAAGAUACAAUUUGCUGGCACAUGCUAAGAACCAGUAAAUUGUAUGCUUUAAAGGGGUGAGUUUUGUGAAUCAUUUCAAUUUUCUUAAAAAGAUACUAUUGUACAUUUUUGCUUUUGUAUCAACUAAGAUCAGCAGGGAACAGAUGAACUGCUCAAAAUGUGUAUCCGAGGAGAGUUAAUAAAGGGACGGUGUACAGAAAUGUAGCAGGGUUGAGGGAAACCAAAAAGGGACAGUGAAGCACCCCAGGUCUAGCAUCUACUGGGAAGCCAUUAUCAACCACUGGCCUGAAGGGGCAAAGAGAUGGAACAGUUACCAGUCCUUGUGUAGCUAUGGGAGAAGAACAGCCAACAGGAGCUUGGAGGAAAGAAGAGCCCUACCUCUCUUCUUUCUCUCAGGUCUCCUUCAGUACCUCCCACUGGCUGAGCCAGCAGGAAGCCUACAAGCAAGGAGCCCAGAUGAUGCUACUUUCAAAGUCCACCUCUGGAGGUAAAGAGCAGAGUGCAAAAGGGUGAAGGGUGGAUCAGUAGGAGCAAAGGCAAGAAUACCUAGCAGAAACUCUUCGUGGCCUGUAUUCUUCUCCUUGGCCUCUUAGCCCUGAAUAUAUGGUGGCCAGUUUCAUGGGAACCUUCACUUACUGACAAUUUCCGCUGCAAGUGCCAGGUCUUGGGCCUCUCCAAUUUCUGUUUCAGGGCCUUUUCAAAGCCAUAAGAGACUACUCAGCCCUCUCACAGGCGUAGCCUGAAAGUAAAGAGAAUUAACACAACCUUCAACCAGUGGCAGGUAUGAGCCAAGGAAUAAAUGCCCCAGUCUCCUAUCCUUCAGAUGGACAAUUCUGGGAGGCAUUUUAUACACUUUUCAGAGGUCUCCAAAAAUCAAUCACGCCCCCUGCGCUGGCUUUCCCUCCUACCCUACCUCACUCAUUCCUCUCCGUUAGACCUGCUGUCCUCCACACACAUCAUCAAUUCCCAAAUACACAACCUGCACCCAAGUCCUUGUCUCAGGCUCUGCUUUUGGGGAACCCAAACACCCAAUUUCCCCAUAUUGAGCAUUGGGUUGUUGCAGAUUUCUGUUAUUGCAAAAGUGCUACCAAGAACUUUCAUGUAAAACCCAAUGGUGCUCAAGUGCAAGAAUUUCUUUUUCGUAUUUACAUAGAAAUAGAAUUGGUGGUCGCAAUUAUAUUGUGAAUGUUCAGCUUUAUAAGAUAAUUUCCAGUUGUUUACCAAAGUGGUUUUGGGGUUUUGUUUUGUUCUGGUUUGAUUUUUUUAAACCAAUUUACACUUCUAACAACAUUGUAUAUGAGAUUCUCUUGAUCUACGUCCUCUCCGAUGCGAGCUAUUUUCAGAUUUCUUCAUUUUUGCCACUCAAAUAGACAUCAAAUGGAAUCUUACUGUGGUUUUGACUUGUACCUCUCUGAUGAUUAAUGAAGUUGGACUAAUAUCUUUAUAUGUUUAUUGACCAUAAAUGUUUCAUAUUCUGAGAAAUGUCUAUUCAUAGCUUUUGUCCACUUUUUUUCUAUUGGUUCAUUGUCCUUUCUUCCUUAAUUUUACUAUGUUUUUGACAGUUAUGGGCUUUUUCUUUGAACUCAAAUGUUCAGAAUUGAAUUAAUCAUAAUUUUCAUGUAAUGUGAUUUUUUUUCCCCUGGAUACAAAAGUAAUGCAUGCAUGUUAUAAAAGAAACAAGUAAAGAGUGCAGACAUGUUGAACAUAGAAAGAAAA
Symphalangus syndactylus (siamang) is the source of this 7919-nucleotide long non-coding RNA. RefSeq lists it as uncharacterized. Lineage: Eukaryota; Metazoa; Chordata; Mammalia; Primates; Hylobatidae. The record is from RefSeq and is a predicted model, not a curated record.